GACGAACGCUGGCGGCGUGCCUAAUACAUGCAAGUCGAACGAAGCUGUUUUAACUGGUGCUUGCACCGACUUAAACAACUGAGUGGCGAACGGGUGAGUAACACGUGGGUAACCUGCCCCAAAGCGGGGGAUAACAUUUGGAAACAGAUGCUAAUACCGCAUAACCACAGAAACCACAUGGUUUCUGUGUCAAAGAUGGUUUCGGCUAUCACUUUGGGAUGGACCCGCGGCGUAUUAGCUAGUUGGUAAGGUAAUGGCUUACCAAGGCAAUGAUACGUAGACGAACUGAGAGGUUGAUCGGCCACAUUGGGACUGAGACACGGCCCAAACUCCUACGGGAGGCAGCAGUAGGGAAUCUUCCACAAUGGACGAAAGUCUGAUGGAGCAACGCCGCGUGAGUGAAGAAGGUUUUCGGAUCAUAAAACUCUGUUGUCAGAGAAGAACGUGUGCGAGAGUAACUGCUCGUGCAGUGACGGUAUCUGGCCAGAAAGCCACGGCUAACUACGUGCCAGCAGCCGCCGUAA
Molecule: ribosomal RNA, 524 nt
Filed under: uncultured bacterium
Lineage: Bacteria
Description: partial 16S ribosomal RNA
Rfam family: Bacterial small subunit ribosomal RNA
Source: RNAcentral